This 253-nucleotide ribosomal RNA is filed under the name uncultured bacterium. RNAcentral describes it as "partial 16S ribosomal RNA". It matches the Rfam family "Bacterial small subunit ribosomal RNA", at positions 524 to 776 of the family's 1533-position model. The record is from RNAcentral.
UACGUAGGGGGCAAGCGUUGUCCGGAUUUCCUGGGCGUACCGAGCGCGCAGGCGGUCGGGUAAGUCGGAUGUGAAAGCCCCCGGCUCAACUGGGGAGGGUCAUUCGAUACUGUUCGACUCGAAGGCAGGAGAGGGAAGUGGAAUUCCCGGUGUAGUGGUGAAAUGCGUAGAUAUCGGGAGGAACACCAGUGGCGAAGGCGACUUCCUGGCCUGUUCUUGACGCUGAGGCGCGAAAGCUAGGGGAGCAAACGGG